This 495-nucleotide ribosomal RNA is filed under the name uncultured bacterium. RNAcentral describes it as "partial 16S ribosomal RNA". It matches the Rfam family "Bacterial small subunit ribosomal RNA", at positions 28 to 507 of the family's 1533-position model. The record is from RNAcentral.
GAUGAACGCUGGCGGCGUGCCUAAUACAUGCAAGUCGAACGCUGAAGGAGGAGCUUGCUCUUCUGGAUGAGUUGCGAACGGGUGAGUAACGCGUAGGUAACCUGCCUGGUAGCGGGGGAUAACUAUUGGAAACGAUAGCUAAUACCGCAUGACAACAGUUAUUGCAUGAUAACUGUUUAAAAGGGGCAACUGCUCCACUACCAGAUGGACCUGCGUUGUAUUAGCUAGUUGGUGAGGUAACGGCUCACCAAGGCGACGAUACAUAGCCGACCUGAGAGGGUGGUCGGCCACACUGGGACUGAGACACGGCCCAGACGCCUUCGGGAGGCAGCAGUAGGGAAUCUGCGGCAAUGGACGGAAGUCUGACCGAGCAACGCCGCGUGAGUGAAGAAGGUUUUCGGAUCGUAAAGCUCUGUUGUAAGAGAAGAACGAGUGUGAGAGUGGAAAGUUCACACUGUGACGGUAUCUUACCAGAAAGGGACGGCUAACUACGUG